AACGAACGCUGGCGGCAUGCCUAACACAUGCAAGUCGAACGAGACCUUCGGGUCUAGUGGCGCACGGGUGCGUAACGCGUGGGAACCUGCCCUUAGGUUCGGAAUAACUCCCCGAAAGGGGUGCUAAUACCGGAUAAUGUCUUCGGACCAAAGAUUUAUCGCCUUUGGAUGGGCCCGCGUUGGAUUAGCUAGUUGGUAGGGUAAAAGCCUACCAAGGCGACGAUCCAUAGCUGGUCUGAGAGGAUGAUCAGCCACACUGGGACUGAGACACGGCCCAGACUCCUGCGGGAGGCAGCAGUGGGGAAUAUUGGACAAUGGGCGAAAGCCUGAUCCAGCAAGGCCGCGAGAGUGAUGAAGGCCUUAGGGUGGUAAAGCUCUUUUACCCGGGAUGAUAAUGACGGUACCGGGAGAAUAAGCUCCGGCUAACUCCGU
Molecule: ribosomal RNA, 432 nt
Filed under: uncultured bacterium
Lineage: Bacteria
Description: partial 16S ribosomal RNA
Rfam family: Bacterial small subunit ribosomal RNA
Source: RNAcentral